Molecule: ribosomal RNA, 253 nt
Filed under: uncultured bacterium
Lineage: Bacteria
Description: partial 16S ribosomal RNA
Rfam family: Bacterial small subunit ribosomal RNA
Source: RNAcentral
UACGUAGGGUGCGAGCGUUAAUCGGAAUUACUGGGCGUAAAGCGUGCGCAGGCGGUUUUGUAAGCCAGAUGUGAAAUCCCCGGGCUCAACCUGGGAAUGGCAUUUGGGACUGCAAGGCUCGAGUGCGGCAGAGGAGACUGGAAUUCCUGGUGUAGCAGUGAAAUGCGUAGAUAUCAGGAGGAACACCGAUGGCGAAGGCAGCCCCCUGGGCCAAUACUGACGCUCAGGCACGAAAGCGUGGGGAGCAAACAGG